This 429-nucleotide ribosomal RNA is filed under the name uncultured archaeon. Its description in RNAcentral is "bacterial SSU rRNA". It matches the Rfam family "Archaeal small subunit ribosomal RNA", at positions 474 to 903 of the family's 1478-position model. The record is from RNAcentral.
UACCUGCAGCUCAAGUGGUGAUCAUUAUUAUUGGGCCUAAAACGUCCGUAGCCGGUUUAGUAAAUGCCUGGGUAAAUCGUGUAGCUUAACUAUACGACUUCCGGGUAGACUGCUAAACUUGAGACCGGGAGAAGCUAGAGGUACUCCUGGGGUAGAGGUGAAAUUCUGUAAUCCUAGGGGGACCACCAGUGGCGAAGGCGUCUAGCUAGAACGGGUCUGACGGUGAGGGGCGAAGCCCUGGGGCACAAACCGGAUUAGAUACCCGGGUAGUCCAGGGUGUAAACGCUGCUUGCUUGAUGUUAGUUGGGCUCCGAGCCCAACUAGUGUCGGAGAGAAGUUGUUAAGCAAGCUGCCUGGGAAGUACGGUCGCAAGGCUGAAACUUAAAGGAAUUGGCGGGGGAGCACAGCAACGGGUGGAGCGUGCGGUUU